Andrographis paniculata is the source of this 3632-nucleotide RNA transcript. It is a transcript of the gene named eukaryotic translation initiation factor 5-like, with no coding region annotated. The record is from RefSeq and is a predicted model, not a curated record. Lineage: Eukaryota; Viridiplantae; Streptophyta; Magnoliopsida; Lamiales; Acanthaceae. The transcript is spliced from 2 exons.
UAACACAGGGAAAUCGGUGUUCAUUUAUGUAUUCCUUGAUUUGGUUUAUGGUGUUCUGCCCUCGUGAAAUUUGUUUCGUCAAUCAUACUCGCGACGGUGACUCCUCCAUUUUGUUGUUUCUUUUGCGAUCACAAUUACGGUAUGUUCGUGGGAACUGUCUAUGAUUUGGAGGUUUUGAUUUGUGCUUCGCUUAAUCGAUUCGUUGUUCUCUCUUUUUCGAUUGUGUAUUAUAUCCUUUCAAUUAAUUACUCGCUUAAUGGUAGUUUUGAAUACGUCUUUAGAUAUGGUUGUUGCCGUAUUAGAUUCUAGUUUUUUGUUACCGCCUCGUGAUAGUGUACGUUGUUGAUAUCGAUUUUGCGCGAUCUAAUAUUUUAUUCUUGUCUGAUCGAACAUUAUGUAAUUAGGAUAUGGUAUGUAUUGAUCGACGUAGUGGAUCAUAAUAUUCAGAUAGCAUUUUUUAUUUUUUUAAAAUUUCCUUAGAAGAGGUGAAUACUGUAGACUUCUCUCCGAGAUGAAUGCUAAUUAACAGUGGAGUUAAACAUGUGAAUUUCCGCUAGUGUUUAUUUGUUCAUUAGAGGCUUCAUUUAUAAGAACUACACUGUUAGAUUAUUAGCCGUGUCUGUUUAGACUAACCAUCUAUCUAUGUUAGCAUGAAUUCUUUUUCCCUUGUUUGUAAUAUAAUGAAUUUCAUUAUGAUUACACAGCAAAUCUAUUGAGAGAUUUAUCUUGCUGUUGCCAUUUCUUGUGAUCAACUCUGUUCUUCUUGGGAAUGAUUUUUAUUCUGCUAACAUCUAUUUUGGAUUCCAGCAUACUUCUUGGUCCAUCUGUUAGCUGCAGUUAACCAAAGUGGAGGGUGCUAAGUCAGAAUUAUCUUUUAUGUCUGAUUGCAACUUUCUUUUCCUAUUAUCAUUUGGGUUACUUGGGGAGUACUGUCCCUCGUUGAGGAAAAAGAAUAUAAGCUCUGGAUUUGAAGUUGGCUGGCAUGCAUUUCAAUCCAUUCCAAGUGCGCAAUAUCCACUGCCAUGGUUGUCUGUUUAUGCAGUCAAUCCAGAUCCUAGUAGAAACUUUUGCUGAAGAGUUCCACUUCUGAUAAAGGUUUGUACAACAGGAUCUCAUCACCAGGCAAUAAUGGCUUUGCAAAAUAUUGGUGCUGGGAACAAGGAUGAUGCCUUCUAUAGGUAUAAGAUGCCCAAAAUGAUAACAAAGAUUGAGGGCCGUGGGAAUGGCAUCAAAACCAAUAUAGUCAAUAUGGUUGACAUUGCAAAAGCUCUGGGCAGGUCCGCUUCUUACACCACCAAGUAUUUUGGAUGUGAAUUGGGAGCUCAAUCCAAGUUUGAUGAGAAGACUGGCACUUCCCAUGUCAAUGGAGCUCAUGAUACUGGGAAGCUGGCUGCACUUCUUGAAAACUUCAUCAAAAAAUUUGUCCAAUGCUAUGGCUGUGGGAAUCCUGAAACAGAAAUCAUCAUCACGAAGUCCCAAAUGAUCAAUCUCAAGUGUGCUGCAUGUGGUUUCAUCUCGGAGGUCGAUAUGAGGGACAAGCUCACCACAUUCAUUCUGAAAAAUCCGCCUGAGGCAAAGAAAGGAUCAAAAGACAAGAAAGCAAUGAGGAGGGCUGAGAAGGAGCGACUCAAGGAAGGAGAGGCAGCUGAUGAGGAGCAGAAGAAACUUAAGAAAGAUACCCUCAGGAAAAAGGGUUCUUCUAGCAAUUUGAAGGAUUUAGCCAAGGCAUCCAGCAAAAAGAAGUCCAUUCAUUCUGAUGAGGAUCAGUCUCCACCCGGUAGCCUGGCUGAGAACAAUGAAGUGGCAGUUGCUGCUGAUGACAGUGACGAUGAAAUCCAGUGGCAGACAGACACUUCUGCCUUAGCCGCCCAACAAAAGAUCAAAGAGCAGCUGAAUUCCGUGACAGCUAGUAUGGUUAUGCUCUCAACCGAAGAAGAGAAACCAAAAUCAGCAAACAGCCCACCUGAAAGUGCUGAGAAACCAAAAGUUAAUGGAAAUGCAACUGAUGUUAGCUCAGGCAGCGCUCAUCAUUACCAAAUCAAUGAAAUCAACAAGUGCAUCAAGGAGGGUCCUCCUGCAUGCCAAUUCAAAUCUUUUUUGCAGUCCCUUUCCGGCACACGCCAAGAGGUCCUUGAUGCCUUGUUUGAAGCCUUAUUCGAGGGAGUUGCAAAAGGUUUUGCCAAAGAGGUUGCCAAAAAGAAGAAGUACCUUGCAGCUGCUGUUAUGGAAGAAGGCUCACAGCCACUGUUGCUCAAUGCCAUAGAAUCAUUCUGCGGGAAAGCAAGCCCCGAGGCCAUAAAAGAGGUGGCUUUGGUUUUGAAAGCACUCUACGACAAUGACCUGUUGGAGGAGGAAUUCAUAUUGGAGUGGUACAAGCGGGGUGUAAAUGGUGGCAAUAAAGGCGCUCAGAUAUGGAAGAAUGCCAAGCCAUUUGUGGAGUGGCUGCAGAAUGCUGAGUCCGAGUCUGAGUCUGAAUAAGGCCCAACUCUGUGUUUUCUUCUUUGUUCAUUUGAGUUCGCAAAAUGGUAUCUUCACUUCUGUUGUGAUUAAUAAAUUGAGUGUAGUCUGUAGUGUAGGUCCGCCAAGUCCACUUUAAAGGCGGGCUUAGAGGGCCCAAUUCAAACGCUCGGCCCAAACAAGGUUGUAAGCAAGGAAAGAAAGACAUCGGAUUCUACGAUUUUUCGUGUUUAUGUUUAUCCUGUCCCCGUUUUUAUCUCGGUUCUUCUGACAGUUCUAACUACCUAAUUGGUUCAUGGUUUAGAGUCAAUCACUGUCUCUCUCACUGCAGUUUGGCAGAGCGAUCAAAUGGAAACUCCAUCUGGGAGGCAAAAUUCGUCAUCAGUUCCCUCGAACCAUGGAUAUGGAGACCGUCGACGUCCCCGAUUCUAUCACUGCAGCUGCUUCAGGCGCUGCUGCCGAUGCUUCUGCUGUUUCUAUUCCUAUCCCUGAAGUGUCUGGUGGAUGUGGGAAAUUCAAGACCAUAUAGCAAGAGGAGAUCAGCAGGAAUCGAUGUAUAAGAUCUCAAAGGAAGUUUCAAUGCUGGAGUCAAGACUCAGAGCAUCAGUCCAGAAGCGCACUCUAGAGGAUGAAAAUAUGAAUCUUUCCCCUCUUUAUGUCGUCAGCAGGAAGUCCAAGCAACAUCAGGAGCAGGCACUCUCCUCAAUCUGAUGCAGUUUCUACAUUUUUUCUUGCUUGCUCUGAGGACUGUCAGAGCAUCAUAGCCUAUCUAGAGCAGUAUACUUGGGACAAGAAGGUCGAGAACAGGAUCAAAUCCCCAUUGGUUCUGACGAACAAGUUCCCUACUAUUCUACACUCCCAAAAGAAUACCAAAGGAGAUUCAGGAAGGUUGUAGAUGUACAUCUUGAGCGUUAUUGGCGUGGCAUGCCAACAGAAAAAUUUCACCCCUGCUUGAGGAACUCUGUUGUUUUGCUGGUAAAUCACUGUGAGGAUGCUUGCCAUACGUGCCUACGUACGUGUGAAUGCUAUAAGGCUAGUGAUUCUUUUACAUGUUCAGAAUCAUCUAAAUAGACAAUUCAAAUAGCACAGAACAUUCUCACCUGUUUAAAUUUGUAGGUCUUUUCUUGUUUUUUGGGGAGAAGAUGAUUCAAUAAUUUGCUGUAAUAAACUCCUCA